GGUUGCAGCUUAGUGGUAGAAUGCUUGUCUAGCAAGUAUGAGGCCCUGGGUUUGAUCCCCAGCACCA
Molecule: transfer RNA, 67 nt
Filed under: Marmota monax (woodchuck)
Lineage: Eukaryota; Metazoa; Chordata; Mammalia; Rodentia; Sciuridae
Description: tRNA.Ala
Source: RNAcentral